RNAcentral lists this ribosomal RNA (253 nucleotides) under uncultured bacterium. RNAcentral's name for it is "partial 16S ribosomal RNA". It matches the Rfam family "Bacterial small subunit ribosomal RNA", at positions 524 to 776 of the family's 1533-position model. The record is from RNAcentral.
UACGAAGGGUGCGAGCGUUAAUCGGAAUAACUGGGCGUAAAGCGCGCGUAGGUGGUUAAUCAAGUUGGAUGUGAAAUCCCCGGGCUCAACCUGGGAACUGCAUCCAAAACUGACUAACUAGAGUAUGGUAGAGGUUAGUGGAAUUUCCUGUGUAGCGGUGAAAUGCGUAGAUAUAGGAAGGAACACCAGUGGCGAAGGCGACUAACUGGACUGAUACUGACACUGAGGUGCGAAAGCGUGGGGAGCAAACAGG